UUUUACAACUAUUGGUCUGCAGCUGUUCUUAGUAGUAAUUGUGGCAUUCCACUGUGGGAAAGAAACUGUUACACAAUUAAACACUUCUUUCUUAGCAAAACAGAAAGUAAGCAUAUGUGUGAAGGAUAGGA
Small nucleolar RNA from Lepus europaeus (European hare), 131 nucleotides. RefSeq annotates it as small nucleolar RNA SNORA41. The record is from RefSeq and is a predicted model, not a curated record. Lineage: Eukaryota; Metazoa; Chordata; Mammalia; Lagomorpha; Leporidae. The transcript has a single exon.